UAAAAUAAUUAAGGGCACACAAAGGAUGCCUAGGUAGUAAGAGCCGAUGAAGGACGUGGUAAGCUGCGAUAAGCCUAGAUAAGUUGCAAUCGAACGUAAGAGUCUAGGAUUUCCGAAUGGAGCAAUCUAUUAAGAUGGAGUCUUAAUACGAAAGAGGGAACCGCGUGAACUGAAACAUCUAAGUAACGCGAGGAAAAGAAAGUAAAAACGAUACCCAAAGUAGCGGCGAGCGAAAUGGGUCAAGCCUAAACCUUAAAUAUGUCAAGGAUACAGCCGUUGUAUUUAAGGGGUUGAGGGACAGAGUGAUGAAGAACUGUAAGAUAUUCAAUAUAGUGUAUUGAUGAAUUAGAAUAGUCUGGAAAGGCUAACCGUAGAAGGUGAAAGUCCUGUAUAAGUAAAUCCUUACACAUAUAACUUUGCUCCCAAGUAACAUGGAACACGAGGAAUUCUGUGUGAAUCUGUGAGGACCAUAUCUCAUAAGGCUAAAUACUCUUACUAACCGAUAGCGCAUAGUACCGUGAGGGAAAGGUGAAAAGAACCCCUGGAGGGGAGUGAAAUAGAACCUGAAAUUGUGUGCUUACAAGCGGUCAGAGCCAGUAAUGGUGAUGGCGUGCCUUUUGGAGAAUGAUCCUGCGAGUUACGUUAAACGGCGAGGUUAAGUAUAACGGAGCCGAAGGGAAACCAAGUCUUAAUAGGGCGAUUUAGUCGUUUGGCGUAGACGCGAAACCUGGUGAUCUAAACCUGUCCAGGAUGAAGCUGUGGUAAGACACAGUGGAGGUCCUAACCCACCGCCGUUGAAAAGUUGGGGGAUGAGGUAGGUUUAGGGGUGAAAAGCCAAUCGAACCAGGAGAUAGCUCGUUCUCUCCGAAAUGCAUCUAGGUGCAGCCUUGAGUGUUCAAUUAUGGGGGUAGAGCACUGAAUGAUCUAGGGGGCAUAUUGCUUACUGAAAUCAAUCAAACUCCGAAUACCAUAAUUUAUAGCUCAGGAGUGAGACUAUGGGAGUUAACUUCCAUUGUCAAAAGGGAAACAACCCAGACCACCAGCUAAGGUCCCUAAUUAUAACUAAGUGGGAAAGGAGGUGGAGAUUCACAAACAACUAGGAGGUUGGCUUAGAAGCAGCCAUACCUUUAAAGAGUGCGUAAUAGCUCACUAGUCGAGAGUCUCUGCGCCGACAAUGUAACGGGGCUAAGUUAUAAACCGAAGCUGUGGAAUCCGUAAGGAUUGGUAGGAGAGCGUUCUGUAGGCCGUUGAAGAAGAAGGGUAACCGACUUUGGAGGUAUCAGAAGUGAGAAUGCAGGAAUAAGUAGCGAGAAAGGGGGCGAGAAUCCCCCUCGCCGGAAGACCAAGGUUUUCAGGGUAAAGCUUGUCUUCCCUGAGUAAGCCGGGACCUAAGCCCAGGCUAUAAUGCGUAGGCGAAUGGAAAACAGAUUAAUAUUUCUGUGCCAGUCAUUUAUUGUGAUGGAGGGACGCAGAAGGGUAUGCGCGCGGACGAACGGAAGUGUCCGUAGAAGUAUGUAGGGUGACUUAGUAGGUAAAUCCAUUAAGUUAUAUCUGAGGUAUGAUAUACAGUCGUAAGAUGAAUGUGCAAAUCCCACGCUGCCAAGAAAAGCUUCUAACGUUAAUAUAUGACUGCCCGUACUGUAAACCGACACAGGUGGUCAGGAUGAGAAAUCUAAGGCGGACAGGCUAACUCUCGUUAAGGAACUCUGCAAAAUAACCUCGUAACUUCGGGAGAAGAGGAGCCCUUGAGUGUUAGUAUCCAUGCGAUACAAAGCGCUCGAGGGUCGCAGUGAAGAGGCUCAAGCAACUGUUUAACAAAAACACAGGUCUAUGCUAAGCUGGAAGGCGAUGUAUAUGGGCUGACACCUGCCCAGUGCUGGAAGGUUAAGAGGAGGAGUGAGAGCUCCGAAUUGAAGCCCCAGUGAACGGCGGCCGUAACUAUAACGGUCCUAAGGUAGCGAAAUUCCUUGUCGGGUAAG
This 1979-nucleotide ribosomal RNA is filed under the name human metagenome. RNAcentral describes it as "bacterial LSU rRNA". It matches the Rfam family "Bacterial large subunit ribosomal RNA", at positions 1 to 1980 of the family's 2925-position model. The record is from RNAcentral.